GUCGAGCGGACAGAUGGGAGCUUGCUCCCUGAUGUUAGCGGCGGACGGGUGAGUAACACGUGGGUAACCUGCCUGUAAGACUGGGAUAACUCCGGGAAACCGGGGCUAAUACCGGAUGGUUGUCUGAACCGCAUGGUUCAGACAUAAAAGGUGGCUUCGGCUACCACUUACAGAUGGACCCGCGGCGCAUUAGCUAGUUGGUGAGGUAACGGCUCACCAAGGCGACGAUGCGUAGCCGACCUGAGAGGGUGAUCGGCCACACUGGGACUGAGACACGGCCCAGACUCCUACGGGAGGCAGCAGUAGGGAAUCUUCCGCAAUGGACGAAAGUCUGACGGAGCAACGCCGCGUGAGUGAUGAAGGUUUUCGGAUCGUAAAGCUCUGUUGUUAGGGAAGAACAAGUGCCGUUCAAAUAGGGCGGCACCUUGACGGUACCUAACCAGAAAGCCACGGCUAACUACGUGCCAGCAGCCGCGGUAAUACGUAGGUGGCAAGCGUUGUCCGGAAUUAUUGGGCGUAAAGGGCUCGCAGGCGGUUUCUUAAGUCUGAUGUGAAAGCCCCCGGCUCAACCGGGGAGGGUCAUUGGAAACUGGGGAACUUGAGUGCAGAAGAGGAGAGUGGAAUUCCACGUGUAGCGGUGAAAUGCGUAGAGAUGUGGAGGAACACCAGUGGCGAAGGCGACUCUCUGGUCUGUAACUGACGCUGAGGAGCGAAAGCGUGGGGAGCGAACAGGAUUAGAUACCCUGGUAGUCCACGCCGUAAACGAUGAGUGCUAAGUGUUA
RNAcentral lists this ribosomal RNA (782 nucleotides) under Bacillus velezensis. Its description in RNAcentral is "bacterial SSU rRNA". It matches the Rfam family "Bacterial small subunit ribosomal RNA", at positions 61 to 825 of the family's 1533-position model. The record is from RNAcentral. RNAcentral also lists the same sequence under 2 other names. Lineage: Bacteria; Bacillati; Bacillota; Bacilli; Caryophanales; Bacillaceae.